Molecule: long non-coding RNA, 236 nt
Filed under: Sorghum bicolor (sorghum)
Lineage: Eukaryota; Viridiplantae; Streptophyta; Magnoliopsida; Poales; Poaceae
Description: long non-coding RNA (SBIC_LNC005009)
Source: RNAcentral
GGAGGGUGGACUAUAUAAGAAUCAACGAAGCUGUCACUAUCGCGAACUACCACACGACCCGGCCAAUAGGAUACAUUUGCAGAUAAAUAACAUCUAAGCACCACACUCACAUGUGAUCUAUCACCUAACUCCCUCGCGACAAGAGCUAAGCGCUUUGCAAACUUAUACAUAAACUCAUUAUCAAUUAGAACUAUAUCAAAUAUAGAACUAGAGCAAACUAAGAACAUAAUAAUUAG